CGGAGGCCGACCGGACCCCCCCCUCGGAGGCCGACUGGACCCCCGGAGGCGUGGACCAGAGGCUGAGGCUGGAAGGACCAGGAUGGACCAGGAACCGAAGCUGGAGACCAGAGAAAUGCCACACGGGAUCGGACCAGAGGGAACCUCAGAUGCAGAAGGUGUGGGGUGUGGCAGCCACACCUGGGAUUCAUGGCUGACGGAGGAGUCGUGUUGGAGGAGGUCCUGCCUGGCGGUCCAUCGUGGGGCAGAUGGAGCCUGACUCGAACGCCAGGACUCUGUGGCGAGGAGGAGCUGGGACUCCUGAGGACAGCCAGGACUCCACCAACAAGGAUUCCUCGACAUGAGCUGGACCAGAGGACAGCUGGUGGGGAGCCGUAGAUCUGGAGGAAGACCAUGACUCUACCAGCAAGUAUUCCAUACCAGGACUCCGUGGCUGAGGACGAGCUGUGAGUCUGGAGGAAGACCAGGACUCUGUCUACAGGUCUGUAACCAGACCGGGAAUCUGGACAACUGAUGGAGAAGCCAUACCUCUGACCAGGACUCCGUGGCAGAAGAGAGCUGAUGGAGGAGCUCUGACUCCGGAGAUCGACCAUGACUCUACCAGCAAGUAGUCCUUGACGCUGGUGAAAUCCGGUUUGGUCCAGGACCCACACCUGAUCUGUACCCAACCUGAUCCUGUUUGUUCCUGUCCCCUCAUCCUCAAGAAGAACUGCUGAGCUUCAGCAGUCUGAGGCUGAUGGAUCAAUUAACUCCAGUCUGAAUAACCUUGACCCCACAUGUACCCGUGUACUUCCACACUCCUUUCCCUCAUGUCUGUCACUAACUAACCUCACUACUUCACUGUCCUCUCUACUCCCUUCCGUUCCUCUUGCUUCUCCAUGGUUCGAACCAGCACUCUGAAGGAGUGUCUUCUUGCCCUCAGAGGGUUCAGUGUUAGGGUUGAGAGUCAGGGAUAGAGUCAGGGACAGAGCUGGUUAGGGAGGAAGGGUUUUUGCACAUGCCUCUUCACUUGCUUGCUGAAUUGUUUUGACAUUUUGAAAUGAUUCAUUGGGAAAAUAUUUGACUGUGCUAUUACUGACAAAUAAAUAUUGAAGUUGUACCAAA
Molecule: long non-coding RNA, 1104 nt
Organism: Gadus macrocephalus (Pacific cod)
Lineage: Eukaryota; Metazoa; Chordata; Actinopteri; Gadiformes; Gadidae
Exons: 8
Source: RefSeq, a predicted model, not a curated record